Molecule: ribosomal RNA, 506 nt
Filed under: uncultured bacterium
Lineage: Bacteria
Description: partial 16S ribosomal RNA
Rfam family: Bacterial small subunit ribosomal RNA
Source: RNAcentral
AGUGAACGCUGGCGGUAGGCCUAACACAUGCAAGUCGAACGGCAGCACAGAGGAGCUUGCUCCUUGGGUGGCGAGUGGCGGACGGGUGAGGAGUACAUCGGAAUCUACUCUGUCGUGGGGGAUAACGUAGGGAAACUUACGCUAAUACCGCAUACGACCUACGGGUGAAAGCAGGGGAUCUUCGGACCUUGCGCGAUUGAAUGAGCCGAUGUCGGAUUAGCUAGUUGGCGGGGUAAAGGCCCACCAAGGCGACGAUCCGUAGCUGGUCUGAAAGAAUGAUCAACCACACUGGAACUGAGACACGGUCCAGACUCCUACGGGAGGCAGCAGUGGGGAAUAUUGGACAAUGGGCGCAAGCCUGAUCCAGCCAUACCGCGUGGGUGAAGAAGGCCUUCGGGUUGUAAAGCCCUUUUGUUGGGCAAGAAAUCCAUCUGGUUAAUACCCGGAUGGGAUGACGGUACCCAAAGAAUAAGCACCGGCUAACUUCGUGCCAGCAGCCGCAGUAA